This 160-nucleotide non-coding RNA is filed under the name bovine gut metagenome. The record is from RNAcentral.
UUCAGGUUCUGAACAGAUGAAAAGGGAACGCUGUGAAAAUCAGCGGCUAUACCCGUAGCUGUGAGUUCCAUUUUGCGCUUUCUCAUCAAAGUCACUGACUUUUUAGGGGUCGGGAAGGCAGAGAAAAGCGGGAACGAGCCAGAAGACCUGCCUGAGUCCG